GCUUAUACUCGACCGUCAGCGGCACGUGCGAUCGCGCGAGCGAUCACGAAGCCCUGACGAGUAGGAGGGUCGCGGCGGUGAGCGCAGAAGGGCUGGCCGCGAGGCCGUCUGGAGCCGCCGUCGGUGCAGAUCUUGGUGGUAGUAGCAAAUACUCCAGCGAGGCCCUGGAGGACUGACGUGGAGAAGGGUUUCGUGUGAACAGCCGUUGCACACGAGUCAGUCGAUCCUAAGCCCUAGGCGAAAGCCGAUGUCGAUGCGGUGUAGCUUUAUUGUUUGUAAUAAUUAACGCACACACCCGUCGGGCGAAAGGGAAUCCGGUUCCUAUUCCGGAACCUGGCAGCGGAACCGUAAAAAAGUCGGGC
RNAcentral lists this ribosomal RNA (362 nucleotides) under Kyklioacalles suturatus. Its description in RNAcentral is "eukaryotic LSU rRNA". It matches the Rfam family "Eukaryotic large subunit ribosomal RNA", at positions 1340 to 1663 of the family's 3401-position model. Lineage: Eukaryota; Metazoa; Arthropoda; Insecta; Coleoptera; Curculionidae. The record is from RNAcentral.